UUAAACAAAUCACUACUGUAUUCUCCUUUCCUAACUUUCUACCUAUAACAGUGGCUGCACACGUUCCCAUUAUCAAUUAUUUAAUAUUGUAAAAAUUUAGCUACUUUUGAUACAUCGAAACAAGAUUUCUGAUAGAAAAGUUUACACAACAAAUCUAGGGUUAUUUUGUAAUUAAAAUAGUCCGAGGGAGUGAUGGCUUGGGUCUCUAGGUACAUCCAAAAUUCAUUUUUUUCCCUUUUACCUAAACAAGGAAAAUAUAAAUGCACACCAUAUUUUUUCGUCAAACUGGUUUGAACUCGGAAUCCCUAGGAUGAUAAUAGGCAUAAAUAACCAUUGAUCACGAUAAAUAUGAUUUAAGAAGGACAAUAUAGAGUUAUUUAACAUGACAUAAUAUCCGCAUAAUAUUAGAACUUCAAAAAGAUAUAAUUUCGAAACUUAGUCAGUCCGCUUAAUUCUGACUUCACCAUCGUUCU
This is a non-coding RNA of Cinara cedri, 473 nucleotides long. NCBI's taxonomy places the organism in Eukaryota, Metazoa, Arthropoda, Insecta, Hemiptera, Aphididae. The record is from the annotation of a GenBank genome assembly.